CGAUUUGCCGAAUUGAAGUCUGCUGGAAGAGAUUGGAAUUGUCCUUUAAAUAGUGAGAGAUGUGCACCCUAAUCUGGAGUUGCUGUCCACAUGCGCAUGAUUUGGUGAAGCGCGGUCCAUGAGUACAAGGUGGACGUGCGGGCUUGAUCCACUGGAGGGAAUGGCGAAGUGGGCGUUGAAGCGGGAAUGGGCGUGAAUGGAUGGGGUCCACUGUCCAUGUGAAGAAGCGCGGUCCACGAGCUUGGCUUGAGUGGGCGGUCCCAUGUGAGAAGCUCGGCCCACGUGAAGUGUGCGUUGAUGGAGUGCUUUGGUCCCGUGCACGGGUGCUUGAUUCACCUGUG
RNAcentral lists this long non-coding RNA (341 nucleotides) under Manihot esculenta (cassava). Its description in RNAcentral is "long non-coding RNA (MESC_LNC000284)". Lineage: Eukaryota; Viridiplantae; Streptophyta; Magnoliopsida; Malpighiales; Euphorbiaceae. The record is from RNAcentral.